GGAGGGGUACCGAAGCGGUCAUAACGGGCUCGACUCGAAAUCGAGUUGGGGCUUUACCGCCCCACGAGGGUUCGAAUCCCUCCCUCUCCGCCA
RNAcentral lists this transfer RNA (93 nucleotides) under Gammaproteobacteria bacterium HGW-Gammaproteobacteria-1. Its description in RNAcentral is "tRNA-Ser". It matches the Rfam family "tRNA". From Rfam's summary of the family: Transfer RNA (tRNA) molecules are approximately 80 nucleotides in length. Their secondary structure includes four short double-helical elements and three loops (D, anti-codon, and T loops). Further hydrogen bonds mediate the characteristic L-shaped molecular structure. tRNAs have two regions of fundamental functional importance: the anti-codon, which is responsible for specific mRNA codon recognition, and the 3' end, to which the tRNAs corresponding amino acid is attached (by aminoacyl-tRNA synthetases). tRNAs cope with the degeneracy of the genetic code in two manners: having more than one tRNA (with a specific anti-codon) for a particular amino acid; and 'wobble' base-pairing, i.e. permitting non-standard base-pairing at the 3rd anti-codon position. Lineage: Bacteria; Pseudomonadati; Pseudomonadota; Gammaproteobacteria. The record is from RNAcentral.